AUUGAACGCUGGCGGCAGGCCUAACACAUGCAAGUCGAGCGGCUGCAGGGAGCUUGCUCCUGGAUUCAGCGGCGGACGGGUGAGUAAUGCCUAGGAAUCUGCCUGGUAGUGGGGGAUAACGUCCGGAAACGGGCGCUAAUACCGCAUACGUCCUGAGGGAGAAAGUGGGGGAUCUUCGGACCUCACGCCAUCAGAUGAGCCUAGGUCGGAUUAGCUAGUUGGUGGGGUAAAGGCCUACCAAGGCGACGAUCCGUAACUGGUCUGAGAGGAUGAUCAGUCACACUGGAACUGAGACACGGUCCAGACUCCUACGGGAGGCAGCAGUGGGGAAUAUUGGACAAUGGGCGAAAGCCUGAUCCAGCCAUGCCGCGUGUGUGAAGAAGGUCUUCGGAUUGUAAAGCACUUUAAGUUGGGAGGAAGGGCAGUAAGUUAAUACCUUGCUGUUUUGACGUUACCAACAGAAUAAGCACCGGCUAACUUCGUG
RNAcentral lists this ribosomal RNA (484 nucleotides) under uncultured bacterium. RNAcentral's name for it is "partial 16S ribosomal RNA". It matches the Rfam family "Bacterial small subunit ribosomal RNA", at positions 30 to 507 of the family's 1533-position model. The record is from RNAcentral.